Molecule: long non-coding RNA, 2649 nt
Organism: Dama dama (fallow deer)
Lineage: Eukaryota; Metazoa; Chordata; Mammalia; Artiodactyla; Cervidae
Exons: 4
Source: RefSeq, a predicted model, not a curated record
AGCAGCAGCAGGAGCAGUUUGGGACAGAGGAGAUAGCACAUUGCCAAAAAGGGGCUCGGGACUCUAAGGAGAGAUGGAGACCAAGGAGAGACAUUCUUCAGGGAGGCGGCAUCCGGUGGAGUUGACGUGCUCAAGACGAAGCAUCAGACACACCUGGAGCUAUUCCCAGCCCGGCCAUUUACAAGUCCUGGGACCCGGAAUGGACAACGUGGCUGUUGAGUGGACAACCAAGAGCAUCUUAUAACUCCACCCUCUGGGUCGCCUCCUGCCUAGAAUUGUUUCUUCUAACAUUUAUGAAGACUUGGGUUCCAGGCACCAAAGCUAAGCAUUCCAAGACAUCACCUUGCUUAGUCUUCACAUCAACAUUACGAGGUUACUUUCACCUAUUGCUUCUGGAGGAUGAGAAUUCUGUAUUCAUUAUCUAAUCCUGGACAUCUUUUCCCAACUCUGUGUUCAGUGACACAGCAGCAGCUUGAUGGUGAUCUUCUCCUGGCUCCCCGAUCCAGGACUGACUCCUCUUCCUGUCCACUUCCAUCAAUACACAUGCCUUCAAAAGGCAGGAGGAAGGGAGGCACAGGGUGGAGGCUGCAAUGGCCAGAGAAGCAGGUCGGGCAUGGAGCUAAAUCAUAAUAAGGAUCAUUCAUUCAUUCGUUCAUUCCACAAAUGUUCUCCCAGGGCCCACUGUGCGCCUGGCAGGCUUCUACAGCCAGCACCAGCUAGAAAACUGGCCUUGCUCAAUGCAAAGUGACGAUAUGAGAUUCAUUGUCCAAAAGCUGUUAGGAGCUUCACAACGGUGGCACAGAGCAUUAAACCAACUGCGGGAUCCUUCUGAGCAGGGACCCCUUCUCAGCCCUUCUGAGCCCAGCCCAGUAGCAUGGUUGUGGGGUUUGGGGAUAUGGUCAUGAACACAUCUGAACAGACAUGCCUGCCUUCAGGGGACCUCACAGUUUGAUGGAGAGAGUUGUUGUUGUUCAGUCACUAAGUCGUGUCCAACUCUUUGCGACCCCAUGAACUGCAGCACACCAGGCUUCCCUGUCUUUCACUAUCUCUCAGAGUUUGCUCAAACUCAUAUCCAUCUAGUUGGUGAUGGCAUAUAACCAUCUUAUCCUCUGUUGCCCUCUUCUUUUGUCUUCAAUCUUUCCCAGCAUCAGGGUCUUUUCCAAUGAGUCGGCUCUUCACAUCAGGUAGACAAAGUAUUGGAGCUUCAGCUUCAGCAUCAGUCCUUGCAAUGAAUAUUCAGAGUUGGUUUCCUUUAGGAUUGACUGGUUGGACCUCCUGGCAGUCCAAGGGCCUCUCAAGAGUGUUUUCCAGCACCACAGUUCAAAGCAUCCAUUCUUAGGCACUCAGCCUUCUUUAUGGUCCAGCUCUCACAUUCAUACAUGACUACUGGAAAAACCAUAGCUUUGACUAUAUGCAUCUUUGUUGACAAAGUGAUGUCUCUGUUCUUUAAUAUGCUGAGCACCAAAGAAUUGAUGCCUUAGAACUGUGGUGCUAGAGAAGACUCUUGAGGGGCCUUUGGACAGCAAGGAGAUCAAAGCAGUCAAUUCUAAAGGAAACCAACCCUGAAUAUUCAUUGGAAGGACUGAUGCUGAAGUUGAAGUUCCAAUACUUUGGCCAGCUAAUGCAAAGAGCGGACUCAUUAGAAAAAACUUUGAUGCUAGGAAAGAUUGAAGGCAAGAGAAGAGGAUGACAGAGGAUGGGAUGGUUGGAUGGCAUCACCAACUCAGUAGACAUGAGUUUGAGUAAACUCUGGGAGAUGGUGAAGGGCAGGGAAACCUGACGUGCUACAGUCCAUGGGGUUGCAGAGAGUCGGACACAACUGAGCAACUGGUCAACCACAACAACACACUGUCUAGGUUUGUUACUGCUUUCCUUCCAAGGAGCAAGUGCCCUUUAAUCUCGUGGCUAUAGUCACCAUCUGCAGUGAUUUUGGAGCCCAAGAAUAUAAAAUCUUUCACUGUUUCCACUUUUUUCCCCUUAUAUUUGCCAUAAAGUGAUGGGAUGGAGAAAGACAGUUGAUAAAUGGUAAACAAAAUGGAUUAGCAAAUUGGCUAGUUCAUAAGAGGAGAACAAGUGUAAUAACAAAAAGAAAAAAAAAAUAGAGGAUGGUAAGAGGAUGGAGAAGGGUCAGAGGAUUAGAUGGACACUGGAAGAGGUCUUGGGAUGGUGAGAUUCAGGCAAAGAGUUGAGGGAGGUGAGGGAGUGAGACUUCUAGGUGAGGAAACAGCCAGUGCAAAGGCCCUGUGGUAGAGGUGUAUCCAACCUGUUCAAAUAGAGGUGGAGGUUAGAGUGCCUAGAGUGAAGUAAAGGGGGAGAGGAGGAGAUGGAGGCCCAAGAACUAAGUGGGAUGGAGAGGUGCUGGGUGAAUCAGGUAGGGUCUUGUUGGCCAUUAUGAAGACCACGACUUUUGCUCAGGGAGUGACACUGAAGGGCUGUGAGCAGAGGCGGGGAUGCAUUAAGAGAAUCACUCAGAAAGCUGUAUUGGGACUAGACAGUAGACAGGAAAACAUGGAUGCAAGGAGGCCCAUGAAGAGUCUACCCCUAGGCUCUGUGGCCCCCAUGGUCUCUGUUAUAUCUACCUACCUUUGUGAUUACAGCACAAAAUCAGCCAUGCCGAAACAAAUGGGCCUGGCUGUCCUCCAAUAAAAC